This is a long non-coding RNA of Xiphophorus maculatus (southern platyfish), 767 nucleotides long. RefSeq lists it as uncharacterized. Lineage: Eukaryota; Metazoa; Chordata; Actinopteri; Cyprinodontiformes; Poeciliidae. The record is from RefSeq and is a predicted model, not a curated record. The transcript has 3 exons.
UAGAAGCCAUUUGUUUGUUAAAAUUUUAUGAAAUAUAUUUGUUCUAUUUGAUGUUUGUUGUGAAUGAUGUAUACUCACAAACGAAUGAGGAAAUUAGUCCAACGUGUUAGGAUCUGGGGAAGGCUGGUUGGGGGGUCUCUAGUUUCUCCACCAGGGGGCAUCCUGGGACCUUCUGGAGGGCGUGAACCUGGAGCUGCACACCUGCUGCCACUUACCAUUGUUUGGAGGGGUUUAUCAGGAUGGAGCCGCUGACACUCCAGUGCCAGAGUGUUAGCCUGUGAUGCCCUGAGUUUCUUCAAACUUCUACGAACCUGGUCAGAUUACCUAAGAUCCUCGAGACCCUGCGGAGUCUACCCGUUGGUGGCCAUGUCCCUGAGACCAGCCCUCAGUUCCGUCGGCGGCAGAUCCCUGGUCAAGUGGAUCCUUUCUGGCACCUGUCUGAGAUCUCCCUCCACUCACCUGUCCGCCCUCUAGAGAAACUCACGCCCUCGUUCCAGCCUGCAGCUCCGGAUCCUAGCGGUUCACCUCUCCGUGCUCAGAUGGGCUCACCGGCAAAGAUCCAGAACCAGGCAGACGAGCACCAGUUCCGGACCACCUUGUACAUACCUGUUAGCACUGUAUUUAAUAAAUCACCAUAACCUUUACCCGUCUCCAGAGUGUGUUCUGCGCAUGUGGGUUCGACAAAUUAAUCUCAGCAUGACAGAACGUUUAGAAACUACAGCGGCUGUAACGCGCCACAGCAAAGGGAAACAAAGGUAAAAUAACCC